GAUUAGUAUUUUAUGUUUUGAUGUUCUGAAGAUUGUAAACAAGUAGUUCUUAUUGAUCAUAUUUAGGUAUUUAUAAUU
This is a long non-coding RNA of Aricia agestis (brown argus), 78 nucleotides long. RefSeq lists it as uncharacterized. NCBI's taxonomy places the organism in Eukaryota, Metazoa, Arthropoda, Insecta, Lepidoptera, Lycaenidae. The transcript has 3 exons. The record is from RefSeq and is a predicted model, not a curated record.